Molecule: non-coding RNA, 678 nt
Organism: Sorex araneus (European shrew)
Lineage: Eukaryota; Metazoa; Chordata; Mammalia; Eulipotyphla; Soricidae
Source: the annotation of a RefSeq genome assembly
CUCAGAGGGUCUGUGUGCAGGAUGGCGUGGAUUCCUGCCCUCCUUAUGCUCCUCUGUCACUGUACAGGUUCCCUCUCCCAGCCUGUAUUGACUCAGCCACCAUCCGUCUCUGCAUCUCCUGGAACAACUGCCAGAGUCACCUGCACCCUGAGCAGUGGCCUCAAUGUUGGUGGUAACAGGAUCUUCUGGUACCAGCAAAAGGAAAGCAGCCGUCCCCGGUAUCUCCUGAACUACUACUCAGAAUCAGACAAGGGCCAGGGUUCCGGCGUUCCCAAUCGCUUUUCUGGUUCCAAAGAUACCUCAGCCAAUGCAGGGAUUCUGCUCAUCUCUGGGGUGCAAGCUGAGGAUGAGGCUGACUAUUACUGUGCUAUAUGGUACAGCAAUGCUUAUCCUCACAGUGAUUCAGAGUCAUGGGGAAGGAAUUGCGCCCAGUUUGUGCUAGAUUUGAUCCCUUCCUCGUCGGGGUCUCCAGGGGAGAAGAUCACUAUCUCUUGUACCCGUAUCAGUGGAAACUUUGGAUCUUACUAUGUACACUGGUACCAGCAGCUUCCUGGGAGUGCCCCCACAAACGUGAUCUAUAAAGACAAUAACAGACCCUCUGAUGUUCCCGAUAGGUUUUCUGGGUCCAUCGAGAGUGCCUCCAAUGCUGCCCACCUGACCAUCUCUGGCCAGAUUUAG